UCUGUGAACGAGGGACACCCAGACAAGCUCUGCGAUCAGAUCUCUGAUGCAGUCCUGGACGCCUGCCUCGAGCAAGACCCUGACAGCAAGGUUGCAUGCGAGACUUGCACCAAGACCAACAUGGUCAUGGUUUUCGGAGAGAUCACCACCAAGGCCAAGGUCGACUAUGAGAAGAUCGUCCGUGACACCUGCCGCAACAUCGGCUUCGUCUCUGAUGAUGUUGGACUUGAUGCUGACAACUGCAAGGUUCUGG
This 253-nucleotide long non-coding RNA is filed under the name Linum usitatissimum (flax). RNAcentral's name for it is "long non-coding RNA (LUSI_LNC005979)". The record is from RNAcentral. Lineage: Eukaryota; Viridiplantae; Streptophyta; Magnoliopsida; Malpighiales; Linaceae.